CCUACGGGUGGCAGCAGUGAGGAAUAUUGGUCAAUGGGCGCGAGCCUGAACCAGCCAAGUCGCGUGAAGGAUGACUGCCCUACGGGUUGUAAACUUCUUUUAUAAAGGAAUAAAGUGAGGCACGUGUGCCUUUUUGUAUGUACUUUAUGAAUAAGGAUCGGCUACCUCCGUGCAAGCAGCCGCGGUAAUACGGAGGAUCCGAGCGUUAUACGGAUUUCUUGGGUUUAAAGGGUGCGUAGAUGGGUUGUUAAGUUAGUUGUGAAAGUUUGGGGUUCAACCGUAAAAUUGCAAUUGAUACUGGCAGCCUUGAGUACAGUUGAGGUAGGCGGAAUUCGUGGUGUAGCGGUGAAAUGCUUAGAUAUCACGAAGAACACCGAUGGCGAAGGCAGCCUACUAAACUGCCACUGACACUGAUGCUCGAAAGUGUGGGUAUCAAACAGGAUUAGAUACCCGGGUAGUC
This 460-nucleotide ribosomal RNA is filed under the name uncultured bacterium. RNAcentral describes it as "partial 16S ribosomal RNA". It matches the Rfam family "Bacterial small subunit ribosomal RNA", at positions 338 to 795 of the family's 1533-position model. The record is from RNAcentral.